Molecule: non-coding RNA, 579 nt
Organism: Heterocephalus glaber (naked mole-rat)
Lineage: Eukaryota; Metazoa; Chordata; Mammalia; Rodentia; Bathyergidae
Source: RefSeq, a predicted model, not a curated record
AGCCCUAAUCCCCGUGCCCCCCUUCCCCCCCCCCCAGCUCGCUACCACCGGCUCGCACUCGCCAGUUUUGCGUCGCAAGGCUGCGGGCUGUGGCAUGAGCAGCGCGGAACCGGGCCUAUGGGUCUGGGCGGCCGCCUGCCCAAUGAGAGGCCUGCGCGACCCGGCGCCCUCGCACUUGGGAGCGCGCAGCCCACCGGCUGUGCCAGAUGAAGACCCCAUGGAGGUUACAGUGAGGACUCGAGAUCGUGACAGUGAGGAGAUGCAAGCCUGACCUGGUUUCCUGGUGGCAUCUGAUACUGAAGAGAGCAUCAUCUAUGGAGCUGUGCCUUACUAAGUCUCACUCUAGACCAGGCCAGCUUCCAGUUUGCAGUCCCCUUCAGCUUUGAAAUGCUGGACAGGCACGAGACACCAUGCCCAGCUUCAUCUGUUACUAGAGUGGGAGAGACCAUGGGAAAGAAGACAGGCAAAAACAGGUUAUAGGUGCCAACAGUAAGUUCUGUAAGCAACAUUAUUUUGCUAUUGGUGUAUCUGGUAAACAUCUGUGACUAGAGAUUGACCAAUAAAGACUUUGGAACUGUC